RNAcentral lists this ribosomal RNA (1121 nucleotides) under Salmonella enterica. RNAcentral describes it as "partial 23S ribosomal RNA". It matches the Rfam family "Bacterial large subunit ribosomal RNA", at positions 1243 to 2347 of the family's 2925-position model. The record is from RNAcentral. Lineage: Bacteria; Pseudomonadati; Pseudomonadota; Gammaproteobacteria; Enterobacterales; Enterobacteriaceae.
UAAGCCUGUGAAGGUGUGUCGUGAGGCAUGCUGGAGGUAUCAGAAGUGCGAAUGCUGACAUAAGUAACGAUAAAGCGGGUGAAAAGCCCGCUCGCCGGAAGACCAAGGGUUCCUGUCCAACGUUAAUCGGGGCAGGGUGAGUCGACCCCUAAGGCGAGGCCGAAAGGCGUAGUCGAUGGGAAACGGGUUAAUAUUCCCGUACUUGGUGUUACUGCGAAGGGGGGACGGAGAAGGCUAUGUUGGCCGGGCGACGGUUGUCCCGGUUUAAGCGUGUAGGUGUGUGUUCCAGGUAAAUCCGGUUCACUUUAACACUGAGGCGUGACGACGAGGCACUACGGUGCUGAAGCAACAAAUGCCCUGCUUCCAGGAAAAGCCUCUAAGCAUCAGGUAACAUCAAAUCGUACCCCAAACCGACACAGGUGGUCAGGUAGAGAAUACCAAGGCGCUUGAGAGAACUCGGGUGAAGGAACUAGGCAAAAUGGUGCCGUAACUUCGGGAGAAGGCACGCUGACACGUAGGUGAAGUGAUUUACUCAUGGAGCUGAAGUCAGUCGAAGAUACCAGCUGGCUGCAACUGUUUAUUAAAAACACAGCACUGUGCAAACACGAAAGUGGACGUAUACGGUGUGACGCCUGCCCGGUGCCGGAAGGUUAAUUGAUGGGGUCAGCGCAAGCGAAGCUCCUGAUCGAAGCCCCGGUAAACGGCGGCCGUAACUAUAACGGUCCUAAGGUAGCGAAAUUCCUUGUCGGGUAAGUUCCGACCUGCACGAAUGGCGUAAUGAUGGCCAGGCUGUCUCCACCCGAGACUCAGUGAAAUUGAACUCGCUGUGAAGAUGCAGUGUACCCGCGGCAAGACGGAAAGACCCCGUGAACCUUUACUAUAGCUUGACACUGAACAUUGAGCCUUGAUGUGUAGGAUAGGUGGGAGGCUUUGAAGUGUGGACGCCAGUCUGCAUGGAGCCGACCUUGAAAUACCACCCUUUAAUGUUUGAUGUUCUAACGUGGACCCGUGAUCCGGGUUGCGGACAGUGUCUGGUGGGUAGUUUGACUGGGGCGGUCUCCUCCUAAAGAGUAACGGAGGAGCACGAAGGUUGGCUAAUCCUGGUCGGACAUCAGGAGGUU